UUGAAGAGUUUGAUCAUGGCUCAGAUUGAACGCUGGCGGCAGGCCUAACACAUGCAAGUCGAACGGUAACAGGAAACAGCUUGCUGUUUCGCUGACGAGUGGCGGACGGGUGAGUAAUGUCUGGGAAACUGCCCGAUGGAGGGGGAUAACUACUGGAAACGGUAGCUAAUACCGCAUAACGUCGCAAGACCAAAGAGGGGGACCUUCGGGCCUCUUGCCAUCGGAUGUGCCCAGAUGGGAUUAGCUAGUAGGUGGGGUAACGGCUCACCUAGGCGACGAUCCCUAGCUGGUCUGAGAGGAUGACCAGCCACACUGGAACUGAGACACGGUCCAGACUCCUACGGGAGGCAGCAGUGGGGAAUAUUGCACAAUGGGCGCAAGCCUGAUGCAGCCAUGCCGCGUGUAUGAAGAAGGCCUUCGGGUUGUAAAGUACUUUCAGCGGGGAGGAAGGGAGUAAAGUUAAUACCUUUGCUCAUUGACGUUACCCGCAGAAGAAGCACCGGCUAACUCCGUGCCAGCAGCCGCGGUAAUACGGAGGGUGCAAGCGUUAAUCGGAAUUACUGGGCGUAAAGCGCACGCAGGCGGUUUGUUAAGUCAGAUGUGAAAUCCCCGGGCUCAACCUGGGAACUGCAUCUGAUACUGGCAAGCUUGAGUCUCGUAGAGGGGGGUAGAAUUCCAGGUGUAGCGGUGAAAUGCGUAGAGAUCUGGAGGAAUACCGGUGGCGAAGGCGGCCCCCUGGACGAAGACUGACGCUCAGGUGCGAAAGCGUGGGGAGCAAACAGGAUUAGAUACCCUGGUAGUCCACGCCGUAAACGAUGUCGACUUGGAGGUUGUGCCCUUGAGGCGUGGCUUCCGGAGCUAACGCGUUAAGUCGACCGCCUGGGGAGUACGGCCGCAAGGUUAAAACUCAAAUGAAUUGACGGGGCCCGCACAAGCGGUGGAGCAUGUGGUUUAAUUCGAUGCAACGCGAAGAACCUUACCUGGUCUUGACAUCCACGGAAGUUUUCAGAGAUGAGAAUGUGCCUUCGGGAACCGUGAGACAGGUGCUGCAUGGCUGUCGUCAGCUCGUGUUGUGAAAUGUUGGGUUAAGUCCCGCAACGAGCGCAACCCUUAUCCUUUGUUGCCAGCGGUCCGGCCGGGAACUCAAAGGAGACUGCCAGUGAUAAACUGGAGGAAGGUGGGGAUGACGUCAAGUCAUCAUGGCCCUUACGACCAGGGCUACACACGUGCUACAAUGGCGCAUACAAAGAGAAGCGACCUCGCGAGAGCAAGCGGACCUCAUAAAGUGCGUCGUAGUCCGGAUUGGAGUCUGCAACUCGACUCCAUGAAGUCGGAAUCGCUAGUAAUCGUGGAUCAGAAUGCCACGGUGAAUACGUUCCCGGGCCUUGUACACACCGCCCGUCACACCAUGGGAGUGGGUUGCAAAAGAAGUAGGUAGCUUAACCUUCGGGAGGGCGCUUACCACUUUGUGAUUCAUGACUGGGGUGAAGUCGUAACAAGGUAACCGUAGGGGAACCUGCGGUUGGAUCACCUCCUU
RNAcentral lists this ribosomal RNA (1537 nucleotides) under Escherichia coli. Its description in RNAcentral is "bacterial SSU rRNA". It matches the Rfam family "Bacterial small subunit ribosomal RNA". The record is from RNAcentral. Lineage: Bacteria; Pseudomonadati; Pseudomonadota; Gammaproteobacteria; Enterobacterales; Enterobacteriaceae.